This 39691-nucleotide long non-coding RNA is filed under the name Homo sapiens (human). RNAcentral's name for it is "non-protein coding lnc-RMDN2-3:5". The record is from RNAcentral. Lineage: Eukaryota; Metazoa; Chordata; Mammalia; Primates; Hominidae.
CCUACUUAGGUGAACUCGUCAAAGUCAUUCUCCAUCCAGCUUUGUUCCAUUGCUGGAAAGGAGCUGCGAUCCUUUGCAGGAGAAGAGGCACUCUAGGUUUUAGAAUUUUCAGCUUUUCUGCUCUGGUUUCUCUCCAUCUUUGUGGUUUUAUCUACCUUUGGUCUUUGAUGUUGGGGACCUACAGAUCAGGUUUUGGUGUGGAUGUCCUUUUUGUUGAUGUUGAUGCUAUACCUUUCUGUUUGUUAGUUUUCCUUCUAACAGUCAGGUCCCUCAGCUGCAGGUCUGUUGGAAUUUGCUAGAGGUCCACUCCAGACCCUGUUUGCCUGGGUAUCACCAGUGGAGGCUGCAGAACAGCAAAUAUUGCAGAACAGAAAAUAUUGCUGGCCUGAUCCUUCCUCUGGAAGCUUCAUCCCAGAGGGGCACCCGCCUAUAUGAGGUAUCUCUUGGCCCCUACUGGGAAGUGUCUCCCAGUUAGGCUACACGGGAGUCAGGGACCCACUUGAGGAGGCAGUUUGUCCAUUCUCAGAGCUCAAACACCAUCCUGGGAGAACCAUCGCAGUCUUCAGAGCUGUCAGACUCGGGCAUUUAAGUCUGUAGAAGUUGUCUGCUGCCUUUUGUUCAGCUAUGCCCUGACCACAGAGGUGGAGUCUAUAGAGGUGUUAGGCCUUGCUGAGAUGCGGUGGGCUCCACCCAGUUUGAGCUUCCUGGCUGCUUUGUUUACCUACUCAAGCCUCAGCAAUCGCAGACGUCCCUUCCCCAGCCAGGCUGCCACCUCGCAGUUCAAUCUCAGACUGCUGUGCUAGCAGUGGGGAAGGCUCCGUGGGCAUGGAAACUGCCGAGCCAGGCACAGUAGAGAAUCACCUUGUCUGCCGGUUGCUAAGACCUUUGGAAAAGUGCAGUAUUUGGGUGAGAGUGUCCUAUUUUUCCAGGUACAGUCUGUCACGUCUUCCCUUGGCUAGGAAAGGGAAAUCCCCCGACCCCUUACACUUUCCGGGUGAGGCAACGCCCCACUCUGCUUCAGCUCACCCUCCAUGGGCUGCACUCACCUUCCAACCAGUCUCAAUGAGAUGAACCAGGUACCUCAGUUGGAAAUGCAGAAAUCACCCGUCUUCUGCGUCAAUCACGCUGAGAACUGCAGACCAGAGCUGUUCCUAUUUGGCCAUCUUGGAACCGGUCUGAGUCUGUUUUAGCCAGAUCAAGUACUUGGUGAGAGAACCUUUGUGGGAGCGCAGAAGUCCAGCAGAGAGACCCUAGCACUUUAUUUGGACCAAAAAAUAAAUAAUAAAUAAAUAAAUAAAUAAAUCCAAAACUAGAUGCAUUAAAGAAGGUUAGACUUCUCCUAUGGAGAAUGCAGCAAGAAAAUACCAUCUUGAAGCAGAGAGCAGCGCUCAUCAGGCAUCAGUCCUUCUGGAGCCUUGAUCUUGGACCUCCCAGCUCCAAAAUAAUAAGUAAUAAAUUGUUAUUGCUUAUAAAUUACACAGUCUCAGGUAUUUUGUUACAGCACCACAGAAUAAGACAACAUAUUAAUAUAAUCUUGACACUUGUCUACCCCACUCAAGAGGGAACAAGGGAAGUGGAGCAUAUGCAUCUGUAGAAAAGUUCUGAGAGACCACCAGAAUCCCUAUUUAAGCUGACUAAUGAAAGUCUUUCUCUUUUGAAAAUAGUCAGUAAAGAUUGGAAGAGGUAACUCCUUUUUCAAAUGCGAAGAUAGUAGUGAAAGACUUCAAAGAAUGCAAAAAAUCAAGGACACAUGACUUCACUAAAGGAACACGAUAAUAUAUCAGUAACCAUCCCAAAGAAAUGGAGAUCUAUAAAUUGCCUGAUGAAGGAUUCAAAAUAAUUGUUCUAAGGAACCCCAGCAAACUACAAGAGAAAACAGACAACUCAGUGAACUCAGAAAAAAUACAUGAACAAAAUUAGAAGUUCAAUAAAGUGAUAGAAAUUAUAAAAAAGAUACAAGCAGAAAUUCUGGAACUGAAUAAUAUAAUUAAAUGAAAAAUUCAAUAGAGAGCUUCAGACGCAGACUUAAGCAGAAGAAAAAAUCUCUGAGCACAGACAGAUUAGAUAAAAUUAUCCAGUUAAAGGAGAAAAAAUAACAAUAAAGAGUGAAGCCGAUUAGAUUUAUCGGACUUCAUCAAAUAAAUGAAUUAAUAUAUACAUUAUGAAAGAGAGAUAGAAAAAGGGGACAAAAGCUUACUUAAAGAAAAAAUGGCUGAAAACUUCCCAAAUCUUGAGAGGGAUAUGAACAUCUUGGUUCAUGAAGCUCAAAAAUCCACAGACAGGAAAACCCAAAGAAGAUUAUAAUGAGACACAUCACAUUAUAACAAAAUUAUCAAAAGUCAAAGCCAGAAUUUUGAAAGCAGCAAGAGAGAAGCAGAUUGCAACAUUCAAGGGAACCUCCACAAGGCUAUGAGUAGAUAUCUCAGCAGAAACCCUGCAGGGCAGGAGAGAGUAGGAUGAAAUAUUCAAAAUGCUAAAGGUGGAAAAAAAAAAAACCCCUGCCAAUCAAGAAUACUAUACCUGGCAAACCUGUCCUUCAGAACUGAAGGAGAGAUAGACUUUCCCAGGCAAACAAAAGCUGGGCUUCCUCAGCUUUGCUACUACACUCGCCUUACAAGAAAUGCGAAAAGGAGUUAAGUUUAAAGAAAAGGAUGCUAAUUAGUAACACAAAAACAUAAAAGUGUUCAUAUGUUUACUCACUGGUUAAAGUAAGUUGAUAGUCAAAUUUAGAAUGCUGUAAGAUUGCAAUGGUGGUAUAUAAAUCACUUUUCUAGUACAAAAGAAGACAAAGUAUUAAAAAUUCAGUUGACCUAUUGUCCGAAGAAAUUGCUCUAUAAAGAGGAAGUGCCUCCUUAUAUUCAAACAAAAUAAAACAAAAGCUUAGACAACCAUUCAGAAAUAUAGUCUGAUAGAACAGAAAGUCUUAGACAGGGAGGCCUGGUUCUGUCUUUUUCCCCUGCUAGAUACUGUUUUCCUAUAUUGGAUGAGUUCUUUAACUUUCCUUGUCUGUUUUCCCAUGCAUAAAAGAAAGGAAAAGAUUCAGAAGAUGGGUGCAUUCUGGGGUCUUGUUAAAAUGCAGGCUCUGACUCAGAAGGUCUAGGGUGGGUCCCAGAUUCUACAUUGCCAAUAAACUCCCAGGUGAUGCUGGUCCAUACUUAGGUUAAUACUACUACAUAUUCAUCCCAUUCCUAAAGGAGAUUGAUCAUACACAAAUCAUGGCAUCAAUAAUCCUGGCUGAUAAAAAAUUCGGGACAAAGAAAAGUUGUAUUCAUUCAAUAAAGGCAAUAUUACAAAAUGCAGUUGACCUUUGGAGAAUGCAGAGGUUAAGGGCACUAACUCUUCCCCCAUGUUGUCAAAAAUUUGCAUAUAAUUUUUGACUCCCCCAAAACUUAACUACUAAUAGCCUACUGUUGACUGAAAGCUUUACUGAUAAACAAUUGAUUAACACAUAUUUUAUAUUUUAUGUGUAUUAUAUACUGCAUUCUUACAAUAAAGUAAGCUAGAAAAAAGAAAAUGUUAAUAAAAAAAUCAUAAGAAAGAGAAACUAUAUUUACUAUUCAUUAAGUAAAAGUGUGUCAGCAUAAAUGUCUUUUCAUCCUUGUUGUCUUCAUGUUGAGUAGCCUAAGGAGGAGGAGGAAGAAGAGAGGUUGGUCUUGGUGUCUUAGAGGUGGGAGAGGAGAAAGAGGUGGAAGAGGCAGGCACACUUGGUGUUACUUUUAUUGAAAAAAAAUCCUCAUUUAAGUAGACCUAUGCAGUCCAAAUUUGUGUUGUUCAAGGGGCAAUUUUAACUAUAUAGCUAUAAUAGGUUAACAGAUACACAAUAUAAAAAGAUGGAAAUUUUGACAUCACUAACAUAAAAUAGGUGGGGUGGAGAAGUAAAAGUGUAGAGCUUUUGAAUGCAUUUGGAGUUUAAAUUAUCAGCUUAAAAUAGACUUAAAACUAUAAGAUGUUCUAUGUAAGUUUCAUGGUGACCGCCCCGCCUCCCCACACACACACAGGCUCUAAUAUAUACACAAAAGACAGAGAAAAAGGAAUUAAAGCAUACCUCUACAAAAUAUAAUCAAAACAAAAAGAAAGCAAGAGAAGAAAUAAUUGAAGGAAAACAAAGAAAUAAUUAACUAAAUGGCAUUAGUAAGUCUUGUCUAUCAAUAAUUAUUUUAAGUGUAAACAAAUUAAAUUCUCCAGUCAAAAGACAUAGAGUGGCUACAUAGAUUUUUUUUUUUUUAAAAUCCAAGAAUAUGCUACCUACAAGCAACUCACUUUAGCCUUAAGAACACAUAUAGGCUGAAAAUGAAGGAAUGAAAAAGGUAUUUCAUGCAAAAGACAGCAGGGAUGACUGUACUUAUAUUAGUCAAAGUAGACUUAAAUCAUAACUGUCGCAAGAGACAAAGGUUAUUAUUUAAUAUAUAGUGAUCAAAAGGUCAAGUUAUAAAGAGACUAUAACAAUUGUAAAUAUAUAUGCACCCAACAUCAGAGCAUGUUCUAAGUAUAUAAAGCAACAUUAACAGAACUGAAAGGUGAGGUAGACAGCAAUGUAAUAACAGCGAUUUCAAUACUCCGUUUUCAACAACUUCCAACACUUAUCAAGACUGAAUCAUUAAGAAAUAGAAAUAGAAAUAGAAAAUCUGAACAGGCCAAUAAUGAGCAAGGAUAUUGAAUCAGUAAUUUAAAAAAAGUCUCCCAACAAAGGAAAGCACAGGACCAGAUGGUUUCACAGAUGAAUUCUACCAAACAUUUAAAGAAGAAUUAAAACUAAGCCUUCUCAAACUCUUCACAAAAUUGAAGAGGAGGAAACACUUCCAAACUCAUUUUAUAAGGCCAGCAUUACUCUGAUUCCAAAGCCAGAAAAGGAUGCUACAAGAGAAGAAAAUUACAGGCCAAUAUCCCUGACAAACAUAGAUUCAAAAAGUCUCAACAAAAUAUGAGCAAACCAAUUCAGCAGCAUAUUAAAAAAGCAUACAUACCAUGAUCAAGUGAGAUUUAUUCCUGGAAUGCAAGGUUGGUCCAACAUACAAAAAUCAAUCAAUGUAAUAUAACACAUUAACAGAAUGAAGAAUAAAAAUCAUAUGAUCAUCUCAAUAAAUGCAGAAAAAGCAUUUGACAAAAUUCAACAUCCUUUCAUGAUAAAAACCCAACAAAUUAGGUAUAGAAGUAAUGUACUUCAGCAUAAUAAAGGCCACAUAUGACAAGCCCACAGCUAAAAUAAUAUGGAUUAAAAUCAAUACGGAUUAAAGACUUAAAUAUAAGACCUGAAACCAUGAAACUAUUAGAAGAAAAUAUAGGACCAAAGCUUCUUGACAUUGGUCUGGGCAAUAAUUUUUUUUAUAUGACCCCAAAUGCACAGGCAACAAAAGCAAAAAUAGACAAGUGGGAUUGCAUCAAACUAAAAAGCUUCUGCGCAGCAAAGGAAACAAUCAACAGAGUGAAGAGACAAUCAAUCUAUGCAAUGGUAGAAAACAUUUGCAAACCACAUAUCUGGUAAAGCCUUAAUAUUCAAAAUAUAUAAGAAACACAAACAAUAGUAAAAAAAAAAAAAACCUAGAUAACUUGGUUUUAAAAAUGGGCAAAAGACCUUUAUAGACAUUUCUCAUUCAAAGACAAGCCAAGAGAUGGAAACAACCUAUGUGUAUGUCAGUGGAUAAAUUGAUAAAGUAUGCUGUGUGUAUAUAAAUAUAUAUCCCAUACUUUAUAUGGUGUGUGUGUGUACAUAUACACACAUACAUAUAUAUAUACAUAUAUAUACACACAUAUAUAAAAUGGAAUAUUAUUCAACCUUUAAAAAGAAGGAAAUCCUGCCAUUUACUAAAACAUGGAUGAAUCUGUAGGAUAUUAUGCUAAGUGAAAUAAGCCAGACACAGAAGGACAAAUGCUGUAUGAUCUCACUUAUAUGUGGAAUUUUUAAAAGUUGAACUAAGAAAAGCAGAGAGUAGAAUGGUGAUUCCCAGGGUGUAAGGACAAUGGCUGCAUUGCAGUCAAGUAUAGGCCGAGGUACACAUCUGGCACAGCAUGACACAGUGGGAUUGGAGUGCAGACAUGCAACCCCAUGCGUUAUAUAAUCAUAGCUAUGUAGCCAUAACAUGGGAAGUUUCAUCACCUGGCUCUGAGCCACUGUUGUCUGCGAGGUGCAUAAAUGCAGCACCAACAGUGUCAGCGAGCUGCUGAAUAAAGCCAUGUCUCACCUACCUGUGGCCUCUCGAGUGUUCUUUCAGCUACCUGCCACCCCAGCGAAUCCCCUCAGACCUCAUCUUGGACUGGAACCUAAUACAGGGGCUUUGGGGGUGGUGGUAGGGAGAUGCUAGUCAAAGGGUACAGAGUUUCAGUUUUGCAGGAUGAAUAAGUUCUGGAGAUGCGAUGUGCAGCAUGGUGACUAUAGUUAAUGGUGCAUUGUAUACUUGAAAUUUUCUAAGAGAAUAGAUCUUAAGUGUUCUCACUAAAAAAAUGAAAAGGUAACUACAUGAGGUGAUAGACAAAUUAGUUUGAUUGUGGUAAUUAUUUCACAAUAUAUACAUAUAUCAAAACAUCAUGAUGAACACAUUAACUAUAUAUAAUUUUUUUUUGCCAAUUAUACCUCAAUAAAGCUGAGGGGAAAAAAGGAUAAGCUGCCAUCUAUUAAAUUUUCUCCCAAGCAAUCGGUUGCAGGUUUGUGCUAGGAAAAUACGUCACUGUGAGUUCAAAAAUCAUGCAAGUGAAUUGAACUCUGCUAGCAUAAUCUGAUGAGUAAAAUCCAUUUUAUCGUAUUAAGAAACAUUUGCGAAGGCGAAUGAAUGAAUGACUUGGAGUAGGUUUUCCCUAGCAAAAGAAACGAUCACCUGAAUUGUUCUCUUAGUGUUGUCCAUGUCUGUUUUUGUAACAGAGAGCUGGUCAAACAGCUGAGUGAUGUCUGAAAGUGUUAUCUCUCACCUCAGCUUUAUGGACAGCAGAAUUAAUACAGGAACUCAGAGGGGAAGUGAUUAGACCUUACAGUGAGAGCAAAGCAAUGUCUUGAAAGAUGCUUCUGCCACUGUCAAGGGCUGUAGAAUCUUUUAAAGGCUCCAGCCUUAAUUUAUGAGUGAGUGCAAAUCAGAUAUUAUUUUUAAGUGUCCUGUCAAGAAAACUUGCCAGGAAUUCCUUCAUAAAAUAGAGAAUCCUCUUGUAAAGCAAACCACUCCAAAUUUGGGAGAAGGCAAUGCCAGAGAAUUUCAACAGUCUGCCAAAAUCAAGUUAUUAUCUGAAUAACUUGGCCCUUUAGUGAGAAGACUAACUUGUUUUUAAAAAAAUCUGUAGCCCUAAUUAGAAACAUUUACUAGAAGUCAGCUGGUCUCAUAGCAGCAGCUAAUUUCUGGCCUGGGCUAACUUUGUCAUCACGCUUUAGGGAGGAUAACUGAAGAUCCCUGAGGAUCCUGGAAAUUGAUCAUCAGCAAACUGGUGGCUUCUAAAAGUGAAAAGAGUUGAGAGCAGUGAUCUUCAAAUGGUUGCUGUACAUUACAAUCACUUGUAAAAUCUUUUAAAACAUGAUGUACAGGGACUUUUAAGGGUCAUACCAAUUAAAACAAUAACUGAGGCUAGGACCCCAGGCAGCAGAUCUGAAAAUCCCCCAUGUGAUUCCAGUGUGCAGCCAAGAUUGAGAACCACUGGCUUUAAGCAGAGCAGGGAUUCUCAUCCUAGCUACAUGUUAGCAUCACCUGGAGAAAAUUCAAAGAACUACUGAUGAUCAGGAUUCACUGAGAACAAUGCAGGUAGAGUGUGCAAAGGCUCAGGAGGUGUUCAACUGAUGGCUUAGUGAGCAUAGGCAGUAGUUCUCAAAAUGUGGUUCCAGAACCAGCAGCAUCAGCAUCAGCUGGGACCUUGUUGGCAAUGCAAAUUCUCAGACCCCGACCCUACACCUACUGAACCAGAAUCUCCAGGGAUGGGGCCCCAGUUUCUGCAUUUUAACAAGCCUUUCAGGGGAUUCUGAUACAGGCUGAAGUUACAUAACCACUAGGAUAGUGAAUAAGAACAUGUCCCUGGAACUAGACUGCCUGGGUUCAAAUCUUGCCUCUGUUACUUGCAGAGUAACAUGGGCUACUAACCUUUUCUGGGCCUCAAUGUCUCCUUCUGUCAAAUGGGGAUAAUAAUGGUUGUCUCCACAGAAGGUUGUUAAAAGGGGCAAAAGAGUGACAUGUGAACAGGGCCUGGUAUAUGGGAAACACUACAUAGUGCUUGUUAAAUAAACAUGUUGAUGUGCUCUCGUUCUAAAGAGAUGUGCGUCUUGGAUGAUAUUCAGUAGGUGUUAUUUUGUACUGCAGCAGACACUUGAAGAAGCAUCUUUCUUGUGAUCUCCUGGCUGGUACCCUGAAGUCCUGUUAUGCCAAUGGACCAGCAACCCUCGCAGGUAGGAAUUACUGCUAGAAAGACUAUCCUCUCUGCAGGCAAAUUUCUGGAAGGAUACUAUUUUAUGGGGAAAAAUGUGAACAACUGUAGGUAAUUUCACAGUCUGUAGGGCUUGUCUCCUAUUUGUAAUUUCUUACAUGUUUACUCGUGGUGGAAAUGUGGAGGUGGCUAAGGAACAAGCAGGCCCGCUGUGUUUCAGUGGCUUUCAGAGAAGGUGGCGGGAAAUAGUCUCUUCUCAGCAGCAGCUGAAUCCCAGUGUUAGCAGACGGAGCCUUGUUUCUUGAAAGUACAUUCCCAGGGAUUCCCUUGAAGAAUGUGAGAGAUCAGCUGGAAUGAAACUGGAUGUUUUAGGGUCCUGAGGGAAAUGUAAAUCCAGCAGCUUAUUCUCAAGAUGUGGCUCCAGAACCAGCAGCACUGAUUCUUCUAAAGAGUUGAGAGUGCAUUUUAGCUGUGAUAUCUUUGUACUCUUAAGAAAUCCUCCUCAACAAGACAAAACUUGACCAAGAGCAUUCAGUUGUCUUCCAGAAGGCUCCCUUGAGGACUGGGACUCUUCCUGGAUGCACCCAAUUAAUCUAUUGAAACAAGGACUCGUGAUGGCAGCCCCUCACCUGACAAACUGGAUUUUCCCCAGAGAUCAUUUGUAAUGUUUUUCCUGAAUCUUAUUUGUGUUUCCCUAUUAGCAAUGUUAUGUAUUUCUAUAUCGCAAAUCCUAAGUGCCGCCUGUAGAACCUAACCUCCAUUUAUAGCAUGGAACACACAGCCCAUCACGUAUCCUUGCCCUGGCCUUCAGCCUCUGAAUAUUUUAAUAAAAAUCACUCUUUCCUCCUUAAGGACCAUGUUCUUUAAAAGCUUAACACAUAGUUCUUAAUAAUUGGUUGCUUUACUUGAUGUUUCUCUGUUUAUCUUGGCUGCCCAGAAGCUCAGACUUAAAUGUAAGAGUCUACUUACAGUAACAACCUUGUUGCGGAUACAAUUAAUUCUCCCUAUCUUGUAUGUGGUUUCCGUUGUCUUUAUUUAUUAUCUUUAUUUAAACCUUUAAAAGAGUAUAGGAUAUCAAUUUAUGAAAAGAAAAAUAUUUUUUUUAGUUCAAUUGAAAUCCCUGUUUUGUACCACACUAUAUUUAAUGCCCCAUAUAGUUCUAAAACUCUGCAUGAUUCAAAGCAGGGGUUCUUAUUCUGGCGUGUGUGUGUGUGUGUGUGUGUGUGUGUGUGUGUGUCUGUAUGUACAUACCUCAAGGGAGUCUCUAAUUUAUAUAUAUAAUUUAUAUGUAUAUAUACACACAUAUAUGCACACACACACACACACAUAUAUAUACUUUAUAUGUAACAUAUAUAUUAAAUAUUAUAUAUGUGUAUACAUACUACACAUAUAUAUACACAUAGUGUUUGUGUGUGUGUGUGUGUGUGCACUUUUGGAGAGAGAGCAUCUCUAACUUUCAUUAGUUUAUGCAAAGAAUUUAUGACCCUUCUCUUGCCCCACCCCCAGACCCAAAGUUAAAAAUUACUGGUUUAAAGGGACCUGGAAGUAAAUAUCCAAGAAUAGGAAUGCACACAGCUCCGCCUUCAAGUCUUCCUCCCCAGUCAGUAAACAUCAUUGUCAUUUAUUUUUGGCCUCUUUUAGGAAUCGUUCUUCUGACCAAGCAAGUAGAUGAAUUGCUAUAUAUGGAGCCAGUUCAAAGCAAGGCACAACUCGCUGGUUUUAGAUACCAAAGAAGUCCUACAGUUCAAUUAUGACCUGGGGGAGGUCAGAGCUCGGCAGGUGAAUCUUGCUUCUGAAUGAAGCUGAGGCAGAGGGAGCCGACUUGCUUCACCCUUUCCCUCACUGGUUUCCCCCAGGGAGGCCUGGGUAACAGGCAGGGUGCAGCUCCUAGGCACAAAGAUGCCUACUGAUUGUGCUGGGCCAGGCUGUGGAUGGGAGUUGAUGGGGCAGCGAGAUGCUGGGCUAGAGGCAGCAGUGGGCACCCAUGACACUCAGGGAGCUGGAUGUCAAGCCACGGAAAUGAAAUCUACCAGAGUAUCAAUGAGUCACAGCUGCAGCAUGUUCUGAGUCCAUGCACAGUGCUGUUGCCAGGAGACCCAAGACAGUGUUUUCCAAAGAUGCUUAAAGCAAGUCUCCUGAGCUGGCUAAGGAUGCACCAUAGGGUAAGCGGCACAGAGCACAUGCGCCAUCACUUUCCUCCUCCUCUCCAACCAGAGAAGUACAGCAAUGAUCUGCUUAAUAGUAAGACAUGUGACAGCAACAAGUACACACUAAGUCACUAUUCCUCUUGUUUCCCUGUAAGGGGAACUUGGCAGUUUUUACAUUUCUGUCCCCUCAUUCCCUCCUCUCCAGAGGAGGAGUGGCUUCCCUGAUUGGGGAACUUGGGAGCGACGCUUGAGAAUGUGGGCUCAGUCUCCUCCUCUGCCCUCGAGCUUUGGGAACAGCCUGCCUCAGAGGCCAUGUAUUCUGGUCUGUUUGAUUCCUUUGUACUGUAGUUUUCCCUGAGAGGACUCCUUCAUAGGAGACUUCUAGCUGUCCAGCACUGCUGUGGAUACGCUUAAUUUGGGGAUGUAAUGCUGGCAUGCUCAUUUGGUCCUCACAUCUAAGUCACAGUCUCCAGUAGCUUUACCAGUAAUGAUACUGACGUUUUGAUCUCCACUUCUUUCUAUUGGUUCUGAACAUAGGCCAGUAAGGCAGGAAUGCUUUGUAUUGGUCUUUUAAAAUUCCAACAAUUUCUUCUGAAGAAAGGGCUCUCCUAGUUUGAAAAAUCUUAAGACAAUCUGAUCUCAGGCCCUGUGGGUGGUUAACAAUAUUUAGGGUCAUAAAAGCUGGUUAACAUCAGCAGGCAAGAGAUCUUGGAGAAAUGAAGGGACAGAAGUGGAGCAGACAAGGAAAGGGUCACCCUACCCCAGCAGUCACAGAAGUCACCAAACUUCACCAACAUGAUCUUCCAGCUUGAGCUGCCUCUCCAUGUCCUCUCUCCCCGGCCAGAUCUGAUUCAGAGAGUGCCUGGGCCAAUGAACAUCUAACUGAUAUAUUGAACAAAUAGAGUUUAAUCUGGUAUGAUCAUGAAGUCAUGUUUUUCUCAUCACUGCUCCAGCGAAUGCCAUCUUGGCUCCUUUCUGCUGACUCUUGCCUUUGAAUGAAAUCUCACAAAGACAUCCUCGUUUUGGUUAUUCUUAGACAAUAAUGGAAAAGUCCUCUAGUUACAUCUAGCCACAAAAAAUAUAUAUCUUAUUUGAAAUUAAAAUGUCCAGGCCCAUGUAAUAGUCACAUUUAGAGUAGAAACCCUGUUAUCCUCCAUGCAGGCUGGCUUUCUCCUAGAAACUUGUAUGAAGUCAGGGAGGGGAGGCAUACCUACUUUCUGUAUUUCUACGGAGCAUGUUUACCAUUCUCCUUUACUUACUAGGUUGUCUUGGAUGACCCAGGGCUGAGGCAGGGGAACAAGAAGAGAUAGGGAAAGUUCUUGCUGGAUGGUCUGGUGCUGGUCUCCUCUGGCUAUGGGUCCUUAAGAGGUUCUUUUGCUGGGUCCCACUAACUACAGCUUCUAGCCUUUUCGGCUGAGGUCACUAUACUAUUUCCAGAACGUACCCCUGAGUGGGGUCACCUUUUAAAUGACCCAAGUUGACAGUCCUACUACGAGUUACACAUCUUGGAGUCACAUGCCAGUGGCCUGGCAUUUAAAUCAGAGGAGGCUUCAGCUAACAUCCUCUUGCGACUAGUGGCAAAGGGUUGGUGGCCUGGGUGUGGCUGGCUGCUAGAGUGUGGAGCUGGCAGAGGUUUUGCUGGUGAGAUGCUGCCGGGGUUUUGGAGGAGGAAGUGGGUGGAAAUGUGGGCCUUGCCCUCUCUCAGCCUGUGACAGCCUCUCUCUUUCCUGCUCCUGUUCCUUGCUGUUGGUUGCCCACUUUUCCCUUGCAUCUCUCAGGCCUUGCCUUCUUCUUUGCAGUCACAGCAUCCACGUCAUCUUUUCCUUUUUUUAUAGGAUUUUUGGCUUCAUAGAGAGGCUUGGUGGUACCAGCCUCUCUGUUAUUUUUGUUCUAAGCCAGCCACAUCUUCCCCUUUCACUUGCUAGACUGAGAGUAUUCUGGGUGACUUUGAAUUGAGCAGAGGUUGCCUUGGCAAUCUGUGUACCCAGGGAUAUUGAUUGGGACUUCAGGAAGUUCAUGUGAGCUGACAUGCAGACAUAAGAAAGGGUCUACUGGGCAGAAGGAGCCAGGGCAGGACAGAAGCUACCAAGAGGAAGGGAGAAGGGAGGAGCUGCCUUAGAGAAACACAGGAUCUGCCUGCCAGGAGUUCACAGGGUUCAGCAAAUGGCCCAAUUGUGAUAGACAAGAAUUACACAGAGGGAGUAAGUUCUAAAGCAUUUAAACAUUCCAAGCAAAACAAUAAGGGCUGUGAAUAUCGACUCAAUAAUCCUUCCUAUUCUAGGAUUUUGGAAAAACCCAUUUUACGAAUUCCCUACAAAAAGUUUCCAAAUCACUCAGAGAAUAGUGUAUUUGCCUGAAAAACAUCCAGACAUUCCUUAUCAGCAGGCUUAUGCUGCCAGCAGUGGUAACACUGUGCUUUCCCCUAAGAUGUGCAAGGUUAUGAGCCAUGGAACAGAUGUUUGCGGUUUAUGACUACCUCUGCUUAAGCCUGAUUUCUUAAACAAGUAGUAUCUUUCAGGUGCCUUCUAAUAUGCACUGACUGCAUUUGCUGGAGGCCUCUGUCUUAACACAGUCUCUUAAUUCCCCUUCCUUUUGACUGUGUGGUUCCAGGAAUGCUUGGAUUUUAGUAAAAUCCUGGCCUUUGAUUAGGGCUGAAACUGUGCCUACUGCCCUAAUGGUACAUGGCAAAUUAAAUAUCCCCCAACUUGGGUUUUGAUGUGUUUGCUCUGAUGAACUUUUCUCAUUAUGGGUUGAUAUGGUUAGGCUUUGUGUCCUCACCCAAAUCUCAUCUUGAAUUGUAAUCCCCAUAAGCCCCAUGUGUCAAGGGAGAGACCAGGUGAAGGUAACUGAAUCAUGCGGGUGGUUUUCCCCAUGCGGUUCUCGUGAUGGUGAGUGAGUUCUUACGAGAUCUGAUGGUUUUGUAAGGGACUCUUCCUCCUUUGCUAGGCACUUCUCCUUCUUGCCACCUUGUGAAGAAGGUGUCUUGCUUUCUCUUCGCUUUCUACCAUGAUUGUAAGUUUCCUGAAGGCUCCCCAGCCAUGCUGAACGGUGAGUCAAUUAAACUUCUUUCCUUUAUAAAAUUUCCCAGUCUCGGGCAGUUCUUUAUAGCAGUGUGAGAAUGGAAUAAUACGUGCAUCGAAGGGCAAUUCACGUCCUUUCUCUCCUGGGUUGGAUUUCUGGAGCUAAACUCAGGUUUGCAGGAGUUAGCAUUACUUCUUCACCAUGGAAAAGAAAAACAAGGACAGGUGGUUGCAUAAAGGACCCAGUGAUUAAAUCGAAAGCACCUGUGAAAACUCAAAGUCAAUAUUUUCUUUAAAGGAAGGGAGUGUACACAAUCAUGGUUGUUUAAGUUAGCUACCAUAGCAGAAAUGACCUGAAUAUCAAUGAUUGGCUUCAGCUGCUCAGCACGUCCUUCGGGUCGAAAAGUUGGGCAGUGGCCUCUGCCAACUUGUUUUUAAUGAGAUAUCCUAAUAUUUUGAACAACAUUGCUAUGCUUCUAUUUCUACCUUAAUGAAAACAAUGAUAUCACUUAUACUUAUUAAGCACUAGCCAUGCAUCCAGCACAGAACUAAAUAUUUAUAUGGAUUAUCUUGAUUAAACUCCUCACAAUAACCCUAUGAAGUAGCUGCUAUUUUCACGAAUAGAUGAUAAAACAGAGGCUUAGAGACAAUCUGCCCACAGUCAUAUAGUUUGUAAUUGAGUCAACCCAUGGCUGUUGUGACUCCAAAGUCCAUGCUCUUACUUAGUAUUGCCUGCCUGUCUUCAUCAGUUGGGUAGAAGGUAACUUCUAAGUUUGUGUGUGUGUUGGUGGCAGGGGUUGGUGUUUUUUUUUUUUUUUCCCUUCCCAGGUGUUUGUUAUCACAAUGAUUUUCACAAUUCCAUGUCCUGUUCCUGUGCUCUCUGUGGUGUUGACUGCAUCAGUGGGAGCUUAGCUGGGGCACCUGAGUUCUCCUCCAGGUGUCCUCUGUGAGUGGUGUCUCAUCCUCCAGGGCAUCUCCACAUGGCUUCUCUCCAGCAGAACAGCCUAGUCUUCCUCACAACAUGGCAGCUGGGAUCCAAGAGGGAGCUUAACCAAGAAAACAAACCCCUUUUCCAAUUGCUUAUAUUAAGCCUCGCUUGCUAAAGUCUCAUUGGCCAAAUCAAGUCACAUGAUCAAGCCCAGAUUCAACGCAGGAGAGAACUUUACCAGGGGUAAAUAUCAGGAAGUGUCAUUCAUUGGCGAAGCCACAGUAGAACAGUCUAUCUCAUUAGUAAUAAUAGUAAUGAUAUCUUUCAUAUAUUGAGCACUUACCAUGUGCUAGUCAGUGUGUUAUAGGCUUUACAAAAUUAUUUUAAUCAUCAUAGUAACCCAACCUAUCAGCUUGGUUUUAUUCCCAUGUUAUAGGAGAGGAAACUGAAGCUCAGACUAACCUGAUAAAAUGACAAGAGUGAAUUCAAACACUGAUCAUUCUAAGUUCCCGAUCCAAGAGAUAGAAAUAUGGUAUACAGAAAAUGAAAAAAAAUUUUUUUUUCGUAUAAUGAUAGCCCUUGGAAUUCAUAAGGAAAAAAAUAAAGGUACUAGUCAAUGACUUUAAUGCUCAGUAGGUAGCAUGUUUAGGGGCCUUCCUGCCUCAAGACUAAUUCUCUUGUAUUUGCAGCCAGCCUUUCUAAUUCUGGUAUUUUGAAUGGAGAACAGUCAAUAAACAAAAUUGGGUAUAAUUAGGCUAAUCAAAAUGUGAAAUAAUAUAGUGUAACUUUUCUUUUAAUCAGCCUCUUGUUUUAUUCUUUGGCUAAAUGAGCUGGUCUUUCCUCUGGCUGUGUUUUCAAAAAGUUCUGCUCCAAACCAUUUGGCAAGCAGUGAGCUGGAGAAAGAACGAAGGGGAAGGGUCUAUACCCUAUAAUGAUGCAGAUUUCAAAACAUAGCUUGGAUUUUUGGAAAAUCCCUUCAUGAGCAUGAAAAAUACAACAACUAUGUUCAGAUGCUUUUGCCAGCUGAAAACCACCAUGACACUUGAGAUCAGUUGCAAACGUUCUCUCCUUCCCCACCAGCACCCAGGGCUGUGGUCCAGGCAGUGAACACAGUGUUUGGCCUGUCCCAGGCCUAAGGGUGUAUGAAGUGUGGGCAUUGUUGGGUGAGCUUGGCUGGGAGGGCAGUGCCUCAAUGCAAGGGAAUCAUGUGGAAAGAUUCAUGGAAAUUUAUAUUAAAAUAUGAUACCUCCAAAAAUAAUUUCUUGCAAGCAGCAAGAAUUAACGCAUUGUGAAACAAACAGAGCUUUCACUAUUAACUUCAGGGAAGAAAAAAAGGGAGGGUGGCUGGCUCAGUGGAAAAUAUCGGCUGUAAGCUGUGAUUUUUUUUUUCUUGCCUUUCCCAUGCUAGAUGGCACUAAUUGAAGAGCUCAGUUGUUUGGGGAGGGGGUUUUUGGAGGAAUGUAACAUGAUCACGUGAUUUUUGGUGCAUCGUGGGGUCCCUAUUUUAUUUUCACUGUUAACUCCACCAUUGUUUUGGUCUUUGAGGUAAUUUUAAAUUUUAAGCUGAUUGCAUGAUUUUUCUGGAAGUCAACACUCGGAGAAAAGGCUGAUUUGGAGGGCCUGCAGAAGUGCUGGGGUGGGUGUUGACAGAUCUGAGUGACAUUUGCAUGGUAUUUCCCUGUGUCACCCCACCCCUGCCACCCUUAAUCACCCUAGUGGCAGUGGUUUAAUGACACAGAGAUCCUGGAAAAGAGUGUUUCUCAACCAGUUUCUUUCAAAGGGAAGCCAUGGAGGAAGGAGCCAUUUUAUCUGAGCAAACAGCAAAUUCUUACAGGAGCUUGUAAUGGCUGUCCAUUCUCCCACUCCACCCCCCAAAAUAGAACUUGUGGUGUGAAAUGAGGACAGCAAAUGAUUCAUAUGUAGAUGGGUUUAUAAUUCAUUCUAGAAAUAAAGCUGAGCCUGUAAAUGACAUUCCAGGAAAAAUAAGAAAGAAUGAGUGGCUUUAAGGGUACACCAGACUGCUUAGGCCAAAAUUAAAAUAUUUGGUAGACUUAAAAUAAUUAUAUUUAUUUUUUUGAAAGGUAAUAUGUAAUUAAAAUUUCCUCUGUGGAAUAGUCACUUAAAAUAGGUUUGUAGUAUUCAUAUUGUGAAUUUAUGGAGGGAUUGUAUGCUUUGAUCUCAUCAAUGGUUCUAUAAAGAAGCUUUGACAUGUAAUGUUGAUAGUGACAGAACAGAGGCUCAGAUUCUGUCACUUUCCAAAGGUCACACAGGUUGUAAGUGACUUAAACUUGGAAAUUGUGUCUCUAAAGCUCAUUCUCUUUUCAUUAAGUUAUACAGCAUCUCACUCUAUAAGGCUGUGUAAUGAUGACAGUCAUGGACCUGCUCACUCAUGAUCUGGGUGGUGAAGAGUUUUGGAUUUAGAAUUAGAAGAGGUAAUUGGAUUAGAUUAGAGUCUCACCUGAUGUUACUUAGCUGGGUGACUUGAAGCACAUCACUAAAAUUGUCUGAACCUCAAUUUCAUUAUCCGUAAAUUUGAAGGAGAUAUCAUUUAUUUAUAGAGUUAAGACCAAAAAUCGUAAGUGUAAAAGUUCUCUGAAGAUGGUACAGUGCUCUACCAUGAUAUACUAUUUCUUAGGUACAAGCUAUUAUUUAUUAGGCACAGCAACAGACUAGGAGCUAGGAGAAAUUCAGAAGUCUUUUUUAUAGCCUGCCUGACAACCUCUUUAAUUAUUUUCCAUCUGCUCAAGAAGCUCCAAGCCCUGGCCACACUGAACUUUUUAAUUUAUCCUUUACACGAUUUGCUCUCUCAUAUCUCUGUGCUCGUGCGUAACACCCCUCUCCUAUGAUCUCCUAUGCAUCUUUCAGAGGCUCUUUUCAGCUCUAUUGGUAGUUUUCCUCUUCUAGGUGCCUAUGCAUUUUGUUCACAACUCUUAUGGCAUUUCCUACAGUGUGUUAUAAUUCAUCUGUUUAUAUAUAUGCUUCUGCUCCUUCCUAAGCUAUAAGCUUCUCAAGGAGACAUGCUGCCAUCUGUAUUAAGUGUGCCUGGUACAUAGUGGACAUCCAAAGGCUUGCUCAAUGAAUGCAUGACUAGAGGUGUAAGAAUUACUGUCCUGAUCCUCAUACACAUUACAACCUAAUCGAGGAUCAUGACAAAUAGACAUGAAACACUAGCAAAAUAAACAGGAAAAAGGAUUCUGUGAUGUAGGUGCAAACCCUUAGCAUUGCAUAAAUUCAGAGGAGCAGGAGACCUUUGAAAGCUAAAGGAAUCAGGGAAAGUUUCUGUAUGUGGAAUUGCUUAAUGAUAAGUGAUGAAUGGGGAAAUCAUUAAACCCACCAGAAUUCCUUCAGGGAGAAAAUCCUGUUAAUUUGGAAGGUACGUAGAUGCUAAAUACUCAAGGGAUCUGCUUCGGGGCAAAGCUGUACCAUAAGAGGAAGAGCAUUUAGCUAUUGUUCUAAGAGAUAAGGAUGAGGAAAGGGAGAGUGGAGGUGGAUUGAAGAUGAUGGCUGAAGACCACACACCCAGCAAAUCUCAAUGACAUUGACUAAAUCCUGAAGUGCUUGAACUGAAUGGAUUUUUUUAAAAAAGGAAACAAUGAAUGGACUCAAAUUAUCCAUUCCUUGUGAAUAUAGGAACGUGGAAACAAAGAGGGAACCAAGGCACAGCUAUUCAGAGAAUACGAGAUGGCCUUCUCAGGGUUCAAAGAGAUAGAUUUGGGGUUUGGGCCAGGUUUAACCAAAUCUCUCAGGAUUGCAGCUGAGGAGCAAAGAAAAGGGGAAGCUGAUAUCUGGAUGACAAUAUCCAAAUGAGUUGCAUCUCCAAAGCAGAGAAUUGGCCAUGGGUCUUAAGGAAUCAUCCAAGUUAAAGCAAAAUAAUACUUCAGCCCUCUAUAUAAACAUUCCUGUAGCCACUGCCCCCUAGACCUAUAGUUUAUAAAUCUCAGUCUACCCAGUAUGCUGAUGGAGGAAAAGCUUUCACCUAAACACCGACCGUGUGAGUUGUUCAUAAUACUAAAUUCAUUUAACUUACAGAACUAUAUUUCAAAAUGUUAUUUUUCUGACAUAAUUGUUCGUUUUUAAAUGAAUUGAUGGCUUUUGAUGUCUUUACGUGGCAAAAUUAAAAUGUGUCAACUUCGUGUUCAUUUUCUAAAUUUCUUAGAGAUUUUAUUGGUCUAUAAAAUCCAAAAUUUGAAGAACCACCUCUUUUAAUAUGACCCAUAGUAUCAUUUCAGUUAGCUAAUUUGCUCUGAAUUAAAUGGCAGAUUUAUUUUCAGUUCCUGAAUUCAUUACUGGUGGUCAUGGUUGGUGUGGUUUAUUAAGGCAAUUCCUUUUCGAGUCACAUCAUUCGUAGCCUCUUCAAAUUAAAAUUUGUGAACAGGUAUACUGCCACAGGUACCCUGAAGGCUGUCUGCAUAUGAACAGGGUUUGGUUUUGUAGUCAAUAUGCCAUUCAACAAGAUGAACCCCACAGUUAGUAAAAACAAUAGCUUGCAUUGUAUUAUUACAAAGCAGUGUUUGUGUAAUGAUUACAUAUUUUCACUUACAUAAUUAUGAAAUGUACAAGUGUGACUGCUGCACAGUAAUUAGUCACAAAUGGCACACAUUUCAUGUAAAUGGCUGCAAUUCCUGUGACUCUUCCUAUUGGGGCUAGCUUCAUGAGCGUGUGACCUAUCUAGUCCCACAGGGUCCCCUUGCUCAAGAGGGCCCCAUGUUUGGUUUAAUGUGCUGUGGCUGCUGUCUUGAAAUUGUUCAUAAUUUUUGACAAGGGGACCCACCCCACAUUUCCCCUUUACACUGAGCCCUCCAAAUUACAUGGCCAUAUCCAACUGCUAUUGCAAAGAUUCAAGCUGGGCUGGGAGGUAGAAAUAGAAGGACCAGGUAGAGAGGCAGGGAGCAAGACUGAAUCCUUUUAGUCAUCUCAGGAGCCUCUGCCUCCAAUCCAACAAGAAGGGCUUCUCCUGUUACUUAGAAAGUCUUGGCUCUUUUAUUCAACUGGAACAAGGAAGAAGAAUUAGCUUUUCAGAAAAUAAAAAGUUUUGGUUAGGUCACAGUAAGGGGGAGCUGGGGAGAUGCUAUGGUUUUGAUAUGUCCCCAGAUUUCAUGUGUUGGAAACUUAAUCUCCAAAUUUGUAUGUUGAUUGGAGAUGGGGCCUUUUGGAAGUAAUUAGGAUUAGAUAAGGUCAUCAGGGUUGGAGUCCCCAUGAUGGGACUGGUAGCUUAAUAGGAAGAGGAAGAGAGAUCUGAGCUGGCAUGCUCUUGCCCUCUCACCAUGUAAUGGUGAGAAAUCAAUGUCUUUUCUUUAUAAAUUACUCAGUCUGUGGUAUUUUGUUAUAGCAACAGAACAUGAACUAAGACAGAUAAUUGAUACUGAGGAGAUGGGCUAUUGCUAGUAAGAAAUACCUGAAAAUGUGGAAGCAGCUUUGGAAGUGGGUAAUACAUAGAGGCUAGGCUCUGAGAAUAACUCACAGUGGUCAAGUGGCCUAGGAGGUGCCUUCAGGGAGACCAGAAGCACUUGAUGGGAUAAAUAGUGGUCAUAAGAUAGGCAGUGUAAACUACCUCACUCUUCCCCACUCUUCCGUAGCAUCUGCUGUGAAGAUACUGUUUCUUAUGGUUUUGUUAGUGGAUUUCUUUGUGGAGCUCAAAGUUCUGAACCCAGGUUGAUUCAACGUGAAAAUAAACAUUGAUCGUGCAGGCUCAAGGAGCCAGAAGACAGGGGUCGGGGGAUGGAAGGCGGGACAGUGGGCAAUUGGGCUCAGAGUGAUGUGUCCUCAGUGAGAAUUCCAGUUUUGCCAUAAUCUUCCCUGUGAAGUUCUGAGAAUGAGUGUACAAUGCCAUAAUGUCCUGGACUAUGGUGGGGAUGGUGGGUGUUCCCCACACUUGAGCAGAACGAAGCCUGUGUAAGCUGUGAAACUGUCAGCUUUGGAGAUUAGUCAUCCUUGCUCAGACCCUAUAAAGCUUUUGCAUUAGUUAGGCUGAUGUUUCACUUUUAACUCAUAUAAUAGGCUUCAGACACUUGGAAAUAGUGCUUUUAUCAUUAGGUAUGUUGCCAUUUUUAUUUUUUCAAGUUUCUCGCUCUCUCUCUCACCACAUAAGUACACUUAAAGCUUUACCCUUGCUAUGAGGUUAACCUAAGGCAGAGGGUAUGUUGCCAGCUAUAGGCCAAAAGUCUGGGUAGGCAUGCGAGAAAGAAAUAUUUUGGUAGCAAUAUAGCUUAGGAAGUCAAUAUUUUUUAACAUAAGUGACAGCAAAUAUUUACAAAUUCAGGCUACUGUGGGUGUUCAGAUUCUGAGUGAAAAGCAAUCUCAUGCACUGAUAUUUACUUUGAAUAUGUUCUCCUUUUUUCAGCACCCAUGACUAAUUCCCCUUUUCACAGGGUGAAGAGCAAGUUGGCUCUUGAUCUAGCCAGAAAAAAAAAAAAAGGUUUUCUUAUACUUCUGGUAGUAGGCAUGUGGUUAGAAUACAGGAGUAAGAAAACAAAUGUGACUCUUAAAAUUAUAGUACACAUUAAUAAACGAACUAAACAUCUAAAUGUUGCUAAAGUGACUGAAUCACAGAUCCACUGUUUCUUACUCUGGUUUUUGCUAGAGGGGCAAUGAACAUGUAAAUUGAGGGUACAAUGCAGCAAAUGAACUAAAUUAGAGACUUUAUUUGAGUAUUGUUGAUGCCGGGAGAGAUGAGAAAAAUAAGACAAACCUUGCCUUCAAGGAACUUAUAUUUGUGAGGAAAAUACAUCAACAAAGCAAAGUCAAGUAAUCAUAAAAAUAUGAACGGCUCUUUAACAGUAGAAGGGAGGGAGAAAGCUGAGCGUGGUUAAUUUAUACAUGGAAUGUAUGAAGUUGUUUCAGAGAGGCAAGAAAUUAUUUGCCUCUCUGAGUCUUCCUGGAAACAGUCUCCCUGGAGGAGGUAGAUUUGAGUAUUGAAAGGAGCAUUCUAGGCAGGCAGAAGGCAUGAGUGGAAUCACAGAGGUGGUGAAAGAUCCAUGAGAGUGAGAUGAGUAAGCCAGGCUGGCUGAUGUGAGGUUUUGGGAUGGUGAAUAAUUGGAGACUGUGCUGGAAAUAGCUAGUGCAUUGGACUCCAGAGGGUCUUAAUUGGUGGGACAGGAGCUUCUGCAUGCACCAUGAAAGACCUGCUCUGACACAGUGAAAAUCUCUGCAUCUCCCUUUCCCACUGAGUCAUCUUAGGCUUCCCUCUCUGCUUUUCCCUUGAAGCCAGGAGUCCAUUCCCAGUGGGCAGGCCCAUCCUUCCUGAAAUCCAGCACAAGAUGAGGCCUGGUAGGUGAGUGUGCAGGGCCAUGGUGCAGACUCCUCCAAGCUCAUCAUUACUCCAGCUUGGUCAGGGUCUGUUUGGAAAAUGGAGUGGUGACAUCCUCUUGCCUCAGGAUGUGUGGAAGCUCCUUCCAUGUAUACAGUAGAAACAGAGCAUCUCUGAUCCUUUAUUACCCCCAGAACCCACUCUCCUGGCUCCUGGCCGAAGGGCCUGAGAAGCAAUUGUAAAAUUGGGAGCUUGCCCAAAGGACCAGUACUAUAUAAAGAUUCAUUUCAAACCCUGAGCAAGGCGUUACGGAUGCAGACCUGAUAAUGAGCCAUUAUGAGAAAAUGAAAAGCACAGACUUUGUGGUGGUGCCCUCAGAGCUAAGUAAUUCUGGAGAGUAAUUAUGAAGCAGAAGAAUGAUUAUACAAACUGCAGACUAAACAUUUAGGCCCUGUGUGUGAGGCCAGCUGACAAAGCAGAGGUAAUUAAUAGGCAGUUACAAUGUGGAAGAUUCUGGAAAGUAGAGUUCUGUUGUCUGAAAUUUAGUCUGACAGAGGAAUAUUAGCAAGAUAAAUGUAUUUGGACCAAGCACUCCCGAGAGGAAGGGCAUGCUCAAAUUGUUUCUGUAAAAAGUCUCUGGCGGUGUUUGGCUCCCUUCUGCGUCCUUCAUGAAACAGUUCUCCUUGAGUAUUACGGUUGGCAAGCAUGUGGGUGGGGGAGAUGUCACACGCACCCGCUCCAGCUGUACAAGCAAGCCACUGCGAGGAUUAGACGCUUGUUAGUUAUGAACUUAGGUGUCUGGUCUGUUUCUUUGCCUUUCAAAGGCACUUCCUGGCAGAGAGGUACAAUGGUGCUUUGCAGGAAACCCUGUGCCCACAGCAUCUGUUCUGCAGCUUGGCAGACCGCAGCUGGCCCUGAGCAUGGCCUACUAAUUCUCUGGGUCAGGUGUGGCUGUGGUGAGAUGGAUCUCAGCCAGGUAAGACCCUCUAAUCUCUGUUUUCUUUCUCCUGCCAUAGAUACACUGAUGAUUGGAGGGUAUGACAGGAAUUCUUGCCUGCCUUUGGGUCGUGAGGGAAACAGAGACAGCGUAAUGGCUUUUUGGAGUGCCAGGAGCAGAGUCCCCAGAGUUCAUUCUUAGAAAACUAUGAAGCUGUUCUUUGAACUCCAACUUUUUCUCCUAUAUUCAUUCAGGGCUCUUUCCUCUACAACCCCCUCAUUCUUGCUGUUGAUAGAUGCCUCUUUCCUACUCUCUAAAUGUCCAAUUUUAUCUUCCUUUGGAAUGCCAUCAAAUUCUUCCUCCCUUUUUCUGUACCCCACCUCCAAAAAUAAUCCCAACACCCACCUCGUCAGAGUGUCCAUUUAUUUCCUCAGGGCUAAUCCCAGAAGGAGCAUACAAGUUGGUGAACUCAUACUAAUAUGUGAAUGAUUGUUGCCCUUGGAUGGUUAGAAAAUCAAGGUAGUUGUCCACUGUAGAAGAUUGUUUAAAGCCAAGUGGUUAAGAAUAUUCUAUAUCCUUCCUUUUGCAUAUAUUAUCUCGUUCAUCCUUGUGAAGCAGAUAAUCUCACCAUCUCAAUGUACAGAAAAGGAAACUGAGGCUCAGAACAUUUUGAGUAGCCUACUUAAAUAGUCUAGGCAGAGAUUGAACCCCCACGUCUCUGGCCCCAAGAGGUCUUGAUAAUUCCCUCACAACUGCUGCCUAACAGCAGAUAAAAUAUAUUUGGAUUCUUCUCACCUUUAAGAAAACCUAGUAAGUUAAUCUCUAAAAAUCAGCAAUCUGCUCAGGGGAUACAGGGAGAACUAGGACUAUUGUCCCAAAUGUGUAGUCAUAUUUAUCUGCUUACCAAAUGACCAUGUGUUGAAUCCCUGAAAACCAUGGGAGAAAUACCAAUUAAAAAAAAAAUCAGAGUUCUGUGACUUCUUCUUUACUAGGUUUCCCUAAAAUUAUGUUUUACUACAAAACCCUGAGUAUAGACCACAUGCUACGAGAUGAUCCGUGAUAUCUCUUAGCCCAGUUAUAACAACUUACAGUUUUCCUUUUUUUUUUCUAAUUGAAUACAAUGUUCCCAAUUAUAUUAGUUAUAAAAGAUAAUUGCAAAAACCAUGCCUGGUCAUUUAAAGUCAUCUUCUUCUUGAACCAGUUGGUUCCAUCUGGUCUUCUGGAUGAAAGAAGUGGAAGACACUGAGCUGAGUUCUGCCCUCCAGUGAGCUUUGUUCUCCAGAAGUUACUUUCUAUGAUGCCAAACCCACACAUCUGGUGAGAAGCAGAUGAGGAAGUUUCCCUUGGGAUAACCCAACUGGAGGUGAUUCACAUCACUCAAGGGUGAUGCCAUAGUCAGAAAAGGAAACUUGACUUAGGCAGAAAAGGAAUUGUUGUCUCUCAUAACCAAACCAUGGGAGCAUAGGGUUGUGGCUGGACCUUAGGAAUAAUCUGGAUGAGGAGUCAAUGAUCCUAAGCCUUUGUCUCCCCAUCCCUGGCCUCUGCUUUUCUGUACUUGUUGAUUUCAUUUUGUCUGACAGACAUCCUCCUGACAGCUGAAAACAAGACCAGCAGAAGCAACCAACCCUCACUGCUCACAGCUUGGGCCCAGUGCUCAGCCCCAGGACCAGCUGACACUGAUAGUAGCUGUUUUAAACCACAGGAAUAAAAUGGAGGAAAAAUCAUCUUCCAAAGACGAGAAAUGCUGCUCACAAAAGAAAGGUGCUGUGUAGAUUCCCAGUAAACAAUAUUAUCUAUAAAUGACUCUGGGAAUCACUAAUAAGUGAUGAUGAAGCUGAUUAUGCAUUAUAUAAAUGUUUAGAUUUGAAAAAAAUUGAUUUAUAGCAUAUAAAAUCCCAUUAUUUUAUAUUACUGAAAUAGGAAUAUGAAGGAAUGGAAACAUUUUAUUUUAAAAACAUAAAGUUACACUAAGACAUUAGCUCCUUUGACUCACAUAUUUCAAAAACAAUGACGGUUUUCAGUGGAAAAUAAUGCUAAGAAGUUCUGAAAAUAACAGUAAUAAGGAAGAAUUUGAGUAAUGAAACAUUUAUUCACUCAUUUUCCUUCAAGUAUGUACAAUAUAGCUAUAAAAUAAUUAGACUAAAAAAUGGCAGGCACAGCAGAACCUUAAACCAACAAAUUUAAAGUAUAGACAUUUUGUUGGUAUAAUAAGAGCAUUAAUAUGUAUUGAAUGUUUACCAAGUGCAGGUAACUAUUAUAAAACCUUUAUUGGCAUGAUCUGAAUUAGUUCUCAAAACAAAUAGUUGGCAAACUAAGGCCUGUGGGCCAAACUCGGCCCACCUUCUAUUUUUGUACAGAGUUUUAUUGGAACACAGCAACACUCAUUCAAUUAUGCAUUGUCUAUGGCUACUUUUAUGCUACAGAAUUGAGCUGUAGUGGCAGAGACUGUAUGGACUACAGAGCCUGAAGAAUUUGCCAUCUGGCCCUUUACAGAAGAAGUUAGUUGAUCCCUGCAAAACAAUCCAAUGGAGUAGGUACUGUUAUUUCUGCUUUACCCCAAGGUCACAGAAUGGUAGUUGUCAGGGUAGUGAUUCAAAUCCUGAACUGUCUGACUAUAAAGUCUAUCAUCUUUUUAGAUAGAUUUAUAGCACAGAGCACAGGCCCUAGAGUCAGACUGUUUGGGUUCAGAUCAGAUUCUACCAUCUAGUAACUGCAUAUUGGACAGUUUGCUUAACUGCCCUGUACCUCGGAUUCCUCCAUAACUCUUCCCAUUGGUAAUAGAUGUGGCUGGUCAUCCUUCGUGUCAGUACAGGCCUUGGACCCGGGGUGUCUGUCCUAGGCCCUGCAUCUCAGGGCCUCCCAUGCUUUGGAGUGCCUCCUUCAACAUUCUCAAAGUUUCUCUGGGAACAGCUGGAGUAGCAGUGCCAUCUGGGCAGGGUACCCUGAGCUGGGACCAGUAAGUAUCCUAGUCCCCAUUUCUGCCCUUUGGAUUGCUCUUUGAUCUCUACUUCCCAGCCCUCAUGUGGGGCUGAUCUGAUGCCCCAAGGAGCUCCAGGACUCAUAUCUGUGGGUUUAUUUUGGGAUCCUUGACCUGGCCCUGAUUCCGGGUGGGUGACCAGAUGAGCCACUGCUCCCCAGAAUAGCCCAGUUUUUCUUGUUGAGUCACCAGGCAAGUGCAGACAUGUUGAUUUUGAUGACUCUCACUUACGUAAAACCCAUACGUUCAGGGCUCUGAGGUUCUCAUGGCCCACUGCUGGCCCUUGACUAGAGCCAUAUGUGGGGUCCAUGUGUCAGGUCUCACCUCUCCAUGUCUGAAUAAAUAGUGGCUUCCAUUCUACAGCACCCCAAGGUAGUAAAGGUGGUGUCACUUACCCUCUCCCCUGUACCCCUCCCAUCACUAGCACCAGGAAAGUCAAACCCCAUCGCUGAGCAUUCCUCCAGAGCAUUGUCUGUCCCCAAAGAACAUUUGACACUUGUUCUGCAAUGUUAGCAGACCCUCCUGCUUGAGGCCCUCCAAUCGAUGUGUUGCCUGUGUCAAUGUGUUGACAUGAACCCUCUGUGCUUAAGCCAUGUUGGGGAGACGUGGACAUUUCUUGUACAAAUAGGACCACUCUUCUUUUUCUACCCAUGGGUUUCCCCCACCUCCCCAUGGUGAAAGUGUGUGGAAGGCAAAGGUGCUGUCAACAUUAAAAGAAAUCACAUUCUAGGAAUGCAGGAAUUACCGUAGGGAGUUCAAGAGAAGAUAUGGUCAGAAAAUAUGCUCUUCUAUAUUUAUGCUAUAAAAUUUCAAACAGUGAAUUUAACAUUCUCAGAAAAUGAAUUAACAUUCACAUUUUCCUGCAUAUUCUGGGCAAGACUUGACUUUGUGGUCAUCAUCUCCAAAACACAGUAACCGCCCUCCCUUGAGAGCAUCAGUGGAAGCCAGGAUUCAUGGGUGGCAGCAGGGAUGACACAACAUCAUGAUUGAUGAUAUAACCAGCAUUAAAUAAAUGAUAUUAAGGAAAUCCAGAGGCUAGAAAAGCUGUUAUUUCAAUACAAACAAAUGCUGAAGAGCCAGUGUUGUAAUAACAGCAUUGCAACCCUUUUCUCCCAGUGAGACAUGUGGAAUUAGCACAUCUAACAAUAAAAAACACAAAGAGGAUUCUGGCAUCUGCACAGAAAGUGAUGGUGCCUAGACACUAUGAAAAAAUCUUCCCUUGCACUGAUUGAACAAUAAGCAAAUACAAAAAUACCUGUUCUUUACCCAUUAUUCUAAAUCUUCAUUGAUAAAUCAUGACUCAGAUAGGCCUACGAAUUUUGUAAAACAUUAAAUCAAAUUCCUUAUACAGACAGGGACUUGGCAGAAAAUAUUUUCCAGGGACACAUACCAUAAAGAUGCCCUGCUUGGUAUUACCUCAUUUUCUUUUCUAUGAAGUCACUCUUGCUUUCACUUGCAGUUUCUCCUGUCUUUCUUCACGUUGGUGCUUUCCCAUGUUUUUUUUUUUUUUCUCGUUUAGGGUGUUCUUUCCUUCUUUUCAAAAAUCACUUUAUGCUUUGUAAUAUUUGUAGCCCUCAACUUCUUUCCAAGCAGGUAAUUUUGCCUUUCUCUCUGUCUCUUUGGUCAUCUGCCUGUCUUAGCCUUUCAGACAUUCUCACACUGUAAUACACACAUGCACGUGCACACACACACUCUAUACAUAUACACUAUGCACAUAUCAUAUAUACACACAACUGAUAAACAUUUUGUUUUAACGUACAAGCAGCAUGUUUACACAGAAUUUGUCCUUGGCUUUAGUAACUAUACUCACCAAAUAGAGGGCUACAUAUGUGAUACAGGAGAGUCAGUCCAGGAUUACUUGCUUUCAUUCUCAAUCUUGUCUGGAUAAUCAGGUUACAGUAUGCUAAGGACAUCAAGAUGCCCAGAAUGGCACAAGUGGAAAUUCUUUUAGAUGCCUUGUUGUGCGCUCUUGAGUGUCUGUGGUUAGAACUUGAUUCUUUACUGGCCUAUGGAUCAAGUGUCCUGUGGUUUGUGACAGCUGCAGCAUUGGAUGAGAUAACUGGGGGUGCCAGGCAUAAUUCAUCCCCGUAUGUCCACAUUCUGACUAUAGAAAGCUAUUGACCUAAAAUAACAUUUUAUAUCAUUUAAAAAUAUUUGGGUAGCCUAAGAUCCAUUUUUUUGUUUUGGAUCAGGAGGUACUACAUCCAAUUUUUACAUGUCGUACCUCUUUGUUUUCACAGAUAAUUUAUAUUUCUUUAUCUCUGACACUAUUUGGCUGUCCUAGAAAUAGCUGAUGACACCAAUUAGGAGAUACGCUCAGUCACUGAUGACGUCCUAUCCUAUUAUGUGUUCAUGCACAGCAGGGCAGGGUAUCUGAAAUGCAUUUGCUUUAGCACAUUUAGAUAAUGUGUGGGAAAGGUGACAGGUUUUUAUUUUCUUUUUUGCCAAUUUGUACAUUAGUGUCUCUUAAGUGGCAGAUUAAAAAUUUCUUAAAGCACUAACACUGAUUAAAAAUGUUUGUUUAGGCUUGUUCAGAACUCUUAAGUGCUUGCAGGAGCCAAAUCACAUUCUCGUCCUUUAAGCAAACAACAUUUUAAAAGCCUAUAAUGGCUGUAUCUUAUUGAAGCAAAUGAUAAUAACUUUCUAUAGGGCUAUUUUCUUUUAUAAGGUAAAUAACUAAAACUUGUAAAUAUGGAAAAAUAAUCCAGAUCCAUAGACAUAUUUGUAAGUAUAUAUUUCUUAAAAAUGUUUCAGUCCUAUUAGUCUCUAUCAUUUUAAUACACUGGCAAAAUAUAUAGUACUUUGUUCUUUUCUCAAAACUCUUUUUCAGAAUUUAUGGCAUUUCUUGUACCUGGUAAAGACUACUGAUAAGCCAUUUCUUGUGGACUAAUAAAAAAAAUUAGUUUUUGGUAAGCAUUAAUUUUAGUCUCUGCUUUUUAUCUGUUUAUUCAUUCUUUCAUCCUUCAUUCAGCAAUAGCUUCUGUGCUGGGCUGGGAGUCAGGUUGGAGGAAUGUGCCCUCUCACCAGGAGGAUGGACUUGAUUGUAUCACUGUGGGGGACCCACUGAAUAGUGGGACCUCUGCAAAGUGCAGUGCAGCCCAAGAGGAGAGAACAACUGAUUCUAACACAGGCUUCACAGAGAAGGUGACAGAGGUUUUAACGGGUUAGUAAAAAAGGAGUUCAUGCAAAGACAGAAAGGCUGAAAAGACGGGUAUUUGGGGAGUUCUGCAAUGGUAAAUGAGGGGGAAGCUAAAUGUGUGUGGCUGGUGGCAUAAGUAACGUGGGAUGUGUAGAUUGAGGCCAGAAGGCGAAGGGACUUGAGUGCCAUUUUCAAGACUUUGUUUGGACUUUGUCUCCUAGCUAUGGAGACCUCAUAAGGACCUUUAGUCAGGGUGGUGACUUAAGAGUGGGCACUAUUGGAAUCAGAGGCUCUUACAAUAACUGUGAGAGGGAAUAAGGACUUAAGGCAAAGACCUUCUUUGUGAUUAUAGACAAAUUUAUUAUGCAAUACAAUAGAUAAAAAAGAUUAAUGCAUAAGUCUUCAUAGCCCCUCUUCCUCUUCUUCCCCAUACCCCCCAGGAAAAUUCUAGCAGAGCUAUGGAUUAUGAAUUGGAUUUUCUUUGGAGUUCUUUAAGAGAAGAAUAUAAAUAUUCUAAAUGCUUUAAUUCUUCUUUGUUGCUACAUCUUGAUUUGUUUGUUUUUUCACUGUAACUGCACUGAGAUCAGUCCCCAUGGAGCUCUAGGUUAUUAGGGCUACAUAACAUGUUUUUUUUUUAGGAGAGCCAGUAUAAUGUUGGGUGACCCAAAGGUUUAUGCCUACUUGGGGGCAGUUUGAAGACCUACUAGUUAGUCACAUCUACAAAGAUAAGAUAGGCAAGGUUUUAAAAACCCAAAUCCUGUCUGGUUUCCUGCUACCACAGUAAUUUCCUGAGGAAUACUCCAGGAUAAGAACAUGCUGUUUAUUACCAGCUAGGGCUUUGUCCUUGACACCUCACAAAAGUGCCUGUUCCAGGUCAUGAACUUGGGUCAAUCUGUGGGCAAGAUGUAAGAACCCUUUGCCUCCUCUGAACUCGGAAGCAAUUGAGAUGACAUCCAUCUUUGGAUGUUCUCUCCUGGACUCUACCUGGUUCCUGCUUGGUUUUCUAACAGAGGGAAAAAAGAGGAUGCCGCUUUCCAACCAUAAGGAGGCCUCCAUCCAAUCUUAUCCUAUCAGCUGCCAGGAAGGAAAAAGAGAGAAGUGAUCUCUGUUCUAAGAAAGUUGCAUUUUAAAGGAAGAAGUUCUGAAUGAAGUGCCCCAAUCAGGAGCAAGGAUGCUUAUCUUCUUUCCUCCUCUGAUAUGGUUUGACCGUGUCCCUACCCAAAUCUUAUCUUGAAUUGUAGUUCCCAUAAUCCCCAUGUGUCAUGGGAGGGACCCAGUGGGAGGUAAUCGAAUCAUGGUGGUGUUUACCUGCAUGCUGUUCUCGUGAUAGUAAGUUCUCAUGAGAUCUGAUGGUUUUAUAGGGGCUUUUCCCCUCCUUCUCUCUGCACUUCUUCUUGCUGCCACCAUGUGAAGAAGGGUGUGUUUGCUUCCAUUUCUGCCGUGAUUCUCUUUCCUGAGGCCUCCCCAGCCCUGCAGAAGUGUGAGUCAAUUAAACCUCUUUCCUGUAUAUUUAAUCAACUAUCUAGUCUCUGUUAUGUUGCUCCAUUAGCAGCAUGAGAACAGACUAAUACAGCUAACCCACUUUACCCUUAGCAGCAUAGAUUCAAUUCCACCUUCUUUGUGGAAUUGAAUUCCUAAUUCAUAUUAGGGUGUUGGGCAGAGUGAGUAUUUGACUUUCAUUUAUUCAUUGGAUUUUACAUCCAGGUUGUGCCACUAGCACAAACAGUUCAUGGAGGGCCUUGUAUACCUGUUUAGGAAUUUGGGCUUUGUAUGGUAAAGGAGAGUUUCUGAAGGUUGUUAAUUAGGGACUUUAUGGGUUUAGAUGUUCAGUUAGAGAAGCUUAAAAUAUUUUUUAAAAUAUAGUAUCUAAAAAAUAUUUUUAGAGCCCAUCACUCAAAAUUAAAAAGGAAAAACAUUGGCAGGGGUCAUUCUAAAGACAGUGAAAUAGUUAGGAAGCUGUUGCUAUAUAAUAGAAGCAAGGUAUGAUGAGGGCCUGAAUGGAGUCAGUGGCAGUGGGAUUGGAGAAAAGAGAUUGGACAUGAGAAAUAUUUAGGAGGCAAAAGAAGAGGGUUGUGUGGAAAAAGGAGUCACUUCCCGGGUUUUGUCCUGAGAAGCUGGCUGGAUGGUAUUGUCACUCACAAGCACAGGAGAAGGAGGAUGGAAGCAUAUUUUUGUUGGUGGUGAACUUGAUUUGAAAUAUGGUAAAUUUGGGGUUCUGGCAGGCCAAACAAGCAGAGAUGUCCAGGGCUCAUCUGGAUAUUCAGGUCUGAAGCCCAGGAGUUGUAUUUGGGCAGGAGAUAGAGAUGUGGGAGUCAUCAGAAAAUAGAUGGCAGUUGAAGCUCUGAAACAAGACAUCACCAAACAGAAGAAUGAGAAUGACCCUAGGGUGCGUGGUAGCAAUGGGGUCAGUAGUCGAAGAAGAACCGGGAAGGAUUCACAGUGGUGUAGUUGGUGGGAGAGAAGGAAAACCAGAGAGAAGGGAGUGAGAGGAGCAGCAGUGCCCUGGAGAGUCAAGUGCUGCAGAGAAGAGAAGAAAGGGAGGUAGGGUGGGGAACAUCUGUGACUUUAGGAAGGUGGUUCAUUGGUGACUGCUGAGCGCAGCUUCAGUGAACGGUGGCAGUAGAUCUGGAGGAAAGUGACUCAGUGAAUGUGAGGUGAGCAAAUGGAGACAUUGGUGUAAAUGCCCCUUUCGAGGUUGUGGAAGUGGCUCACGUUUUUGAGGCAGGGCUGUGUUUGUUUUUCAGAGGUAGGGACUCGAGCAUAUUCUCUGCAGAAGCCCCCAGUCAGUGAGACUGGUAAAGACUGUUGUCAUGUAGUCAGAGGCAGAGUCUCAGUUCUACUCCUUCUCUUAUCUCUGUCACACUGAACACUUCUGCUCUUUCUUAAAUCACCAGUUGGCUCCUGGGGCUCCCAGGCCUUUCUGGGUUUGCUCUGGGUUUAUUCACCUCUUGUGUCAGUCUGUUCUCAUACUGCUAUGAAGCAAUACCCGAGACUGGGUAAUUUAUAAAGGAAAGAGGUUGAAUUGACUCAUAGUUCUGCAGGACUGGGGUUGCCUCAGGAAACUUAUGGUCAUGGCAGAAGCGGAAGCAAACAUGUCCUUCACGUGGCAGCAGGAGAGAGAAGUGCAAAGGGGGAAAACCCCUUAUAUAAAAACAUCAGAUCUUGUGAGAACUCACUAUCAUGAGAACAACAUGAGGGUAACUGCCCCCAUGAUUCAAUUAUCUCCUGCUGGGUCCCUCCCAUGACACGUGGGGAUUACGGGAACUACAAUUCAAGAUGAGAUUUGGCUGGGGAUGUAGCCAAACCACAUCACCCCUGUUAGAGGUGGAGGAUUUGCUGUGCCCCACUCACUGCCACCCCCACUGCCACCAGGGCAGUCAUGUCUCACAUGGUGCGACAUUUGGUAUCCCCACUCCUUCACCCACUUGUGCCUUCAGAGAGGACUCGGAGCCCUCAGGAGAGCUACAGGGUAGUCCCGUAAAUAGCCAGGGGCCAGUGAGAUGAUGUACUCUGAGGAGAGGCUUCCCACAAUACAAACCUUAGGUGUCAAAUGUGCUAUGAGGACACUGAGGCAUUGUACCCUCAGCACCUGUGGCAGGUAGGUGGGGCCCAGGCCAGCCACAACAGCCCUUUCAUUUCCCCAUGGUGCUGUCCCAAUGUCAUAAUUUUCUUUGUCAUGAUAUGGGAAGCACUGCCUGAUGGGGCCCCACCUCCAGCACAUUGGCUGUCUCUCUGUCACUUGGCUUCCUGAAUGGUAUUUAAACGCCCCCCGCAUCACUGUUGGGUCUCAGCAAACUCUCUGGCCUCUUGUUCAAUUUGCCCUCUGCAUACUGGGAAGGCCUAUUUAACUUUGCCUGGCAUCUGUGUGGAAGAAACACUUCUUAGGCAAAGAGCUCCUGGAAGACAAUCUCCCUAGCAACAAUGAAGCAUCCUCUCUACAGUCUUUUCUGCCUCUCUUUUGUUGUUAUCUGGAUGACAGGGAUUGAAUCUGGCCUCUGCCCAUAUCAAAUGCUGUCUGGGGCUGGAAACAAGCCUCAAAACAUGUUUUAAAUAUUUUAUUUCCCCCCGUCUCCCCUAAGUCUGCCCACCAUGCAUACGCUUGAUUAAAGUUAUGCCCCAGUGAUCAACUGUGAGUGACAGUGACCCUCCUAAAGGUAGUCUACUUAGCCUCUGGGCUCAGGCAACACACCUGUGUCUGAUUAGACACUGUUACCCUGCUUGAACCUGUGCCACAUGAAAGCAGCUUUCUCUUGUGCUCUGGUAGUGGGAGAUGCUUUCUUGUAAUGUUAAUGCAGGGCUAGACUUUUCUCCUGCUGAUCCUUUGCCUGGAAUGUUCUCCUCUUCCUUGUCACCAGCCAGAGCACCACUAAAUCAGUGUAAACUCCUUAAGGGAAGACUAAAGUCCUGGGAAGUGGGGUCAUCCUGGCCUUAUCUCCUUAAAGAACCUAACUCUUCAAGGGGGUCUUCCCUGUUAACCCUCUGUAUUAGUUGGCUAGGGCUGCAGUUGCCAGUACCAUGAACUGCGUGACUUAAACAACAGAAACUAAUUGUCUCACAGUUUUGGAGAUCAAGAUCAAGGUGCCAGCAGGUUUGGUUUCUCCUGAGACCUCUUUCUUUGGCUUGCAGAUGGCCACCUUCUUGUUGUGUCCUCCCAUGGCCUUUCAUCUGUGUGUGUGCAUCCCUAAUGUCUCUUCCCCUUUUUAUAAGGACGUGAGUCCUAUCCAAUUAGGGUCCCACCCUUAUGAGCUCAUUCAGCCUUAAUUACUUCUUCAAAGGCUUUAGCUCCAAAUAUAGUCACACUGAGGGUUAGGGCUUCAACAUAUGAAUUUUAAGGGAACACAGUUCAGUCCACCUCAUUAUCCUUAACGUUUUCCAUUUUUCUGUAUUCUCUCCAGUGCUUGGGUAUUGCAUCAGUUUCCUAUAAUUGCUUUAGCAAAUUACUAAAAACUUGGUGGCUAUAAACAACAGAAAUUUAUUGUCUCACAGUUCUAGAGGCCAGAAGUCUGAAAUCGGUGUCACUGGGCCGAAAUCAAGCUGUCAGCAAGGCUGUACUCCCUCCAGAGGCUCUAGGGGGAAAUCUGUCCCUUGCCUUUUUCACUUUUUGGUGGCUGGCAGCAUUCCUUGAUUUCUGGAUGCAUCAAUCCAUCCUCUGUGGUCACAUUGUCUACUCCUCUUCUGGUCAAAUUUCCCUUUGCCUCUCUCUUAUAGGGACAAUCGUGAUUGCAUUUAGGGUCCACCCAGAUAAUCCAGACUAAUGCCCCAUCUCAAGAUCCUUAACUUAAUCAUAUCUGUAAGGCCCCUUUUACCAAAUAAGGUGACAUUUAUAAGUUCCAGACAUUAGAAUCUCCUAUCUUGGGGGCCAUUAUUCCACCAGCCACAGGAGUAUUGUUCAUAAUAUAUCAUUUGAUGUUUAAACAAAUGAUGUAUCAUUUGAUGUUUAACAGCUGACCUACAAAAAGAGCCCUUGUUGCAAGGGCAGGAGACACAAAGAUGUUUUUGCUGGGUGUGUUCAGACAAGAUCACACCCUUCAUACCAUAAUCUAGAGCCUUGGCUCUGUCCUCCCACAUGACCUUCGCCUGAGGGGAGGGGCUGGGGACUAGGGAGCCAAGGAGUCUCCCUGGGGAGGUGAGGUUUCAGAUGAUCCAGGGGUUGGAAGAAGUUUCUCCCAUGCAUUUUUAUCUCAUGGCUGGUUAAGAGGGGUGGGCAUCCCACUCCCGGAAGCCAUUUCACUUUGAAUACUUUGUUUACUUCUGGUUAGAAGAGUCUUCAGGAGUGUGGGCUCUGGUAAGAAGGUCCCAUUUUCCCUGGACUUAUACAACCAGGUCUGCUUCUUGUGUUUUGCUAUCGUGACACUUUUACAAUUUUUCCUCUCAGUUACCUAAGGUACCUGAUGAAUAGUCAACAUGUUUGUGAAGUCCAGAGUGCCAGAUGUAUUGAAAAUGAGCAAUUUUAAUCAACGGUGAACCUACCUCUUUAUAUUUUUUUUUUAAAAAGAGGGCGAUUACUGAAGCUUCACAAAUAGUGCUUUAUUUAGUCAUAGGAGCCAUGAUCUGGUACUAGGAUGGGAGGACUUUAUUGGCUGCUAAUCUAAGAUUGUGUUUGUCUGUUCUUCCUUCUUGCCAUUUAUGGUGGAAAAAUCUUCCAGAGCACCACAGGUGUUUUGUUUCUUGCUUCUAGUCCCAUCCCAAUUUCAUUUUCAUGAAAUGGGAGUCAGGUUUGGAAGAUAAUUACCAAUUUCCUUUUCCUACUUUUAACAAUGCCCCUGCUUACGGUACAAAGUUGUGUCUGAACAUUACUGCUUAUUCUGAAAAACUCAAUAUGUAAUUUUUAAUGUCGUUUCAAGCCUUUUGAAGUUUCAUCUGUUUCUGGGGCAUUGCUAAUGGUUUACCUUACAACGCAGAAAGAACUUAUAAAGGAGAUGUCAGGAGAAAAUAAUAAUCUCCUCAAUGCAAUCAUGUCAUUAAGAUGCUACUGUUAAGAGUGGGGGAUGAGGCAGAGGAAAGACCAGACAGUGACUUAGAAACAUGAGCAUUUGGCAUCGAAGGCAUUACUGUCUUGAAGCCUUCUGGCCUGUAGGGUGUAUGGAAACAUGUCAGUUAUGGAGAGUUUUAUAUUAAUCUCCUGUACCAUCUAAUUUGGUUGAUUCAAAAUUAGGUUUAAUUACAAGUGAUCUUCUGGCACUAGGGAGACCGGCCAACAAUAACCUUCAUUAUCUCUUCUGGUGAAGGCCACAUUUGCUCUCAGGUAAAUCUCUCAGAAAAGCUCAUCACUGCCCAUUUUUCUUUGGUCCCAGGCAAAAUUAUGCAUUACAUGAACUCACUCUUCAUGUUUUUCCUGGUCUCUCUUGCUACCUGGUCCCAGGCCAGUUGCUAGAGACUUGUGCUCCCACAGUGGGCAUCUGAUAAGUGAGUUCACUUUUCACUGUUGGUGGCUUGCAGAUGUUGUUACUCCUGGAAUUAUUCUAAGGGGACUCCAUGCCUAAUAGAAAAAGCCUCACCUAAAAAGGAACCCAUCUCCAAGGGUAGAUUUUUCUAGCCCUGGGGCAGCUGAGUGUAGAAGAAAUUGUUUUGAGCAGUACUGUUUUUCUAGGGUCACACAAGUUCUGCCUAUUUCACUUGUAACAAUGCUGCCCAUGGGUAUAAGGAUGACAUCCUUUGGAGUUUUAAUGCACAUUUCCUGGGACUUAAAGAUGGGAAUUUUCUAUGGACACAGUACCUCAAAGGGUUUCUUUGUUGGGAUUUUCGAGACCCAAAUGUAAUGAAAGAAUCUUUUCACUACAGAUGAUCCUUGACUUAUGAUGGGGGUUACGUCCUGAUAAGCCCAUUGUAAGUUAAAAAAUGUAAGUAGAAAAUGUGUUUUCAAUUAAGAACCAUCCUAAGUCGGGAACCAUCUGUACUUUUGUGGGUAUUUGGGGUGCAAACGUUGGGGACCAUGUGUUAUGCUGAUAAUGACCAUCUUGCUGAUGUGCCUUGUAGGGUAAGGACUCACCCUGGGAGAGACUGUGAGUUUCCCUGAGGGGUGGACAGUCCACACGUCACCUCUGGGAAGAGGCAGGUCCUCGGAAGUCUGGGGCUUCUGCUCCUCUCUGAGCCUCAGUUCUAUGAGUCUGGACUUCAAGGAGUUUGAGAGAACUUCCAGGGCUGUUUGUUUCUACUCAAUUGAAUUGUUUUUCCUACUUUGUAAGCCAUAACUCCUGGCUCUCUUGGGUUCUAAUGACCCAGGAGACUCUUCAAUGACAUUUGGAUUCUGUUUCCUGGGGAGCUUUCUUCCUUAAUCCUGGGGAUACUCAAAGUGUAAGCCAGCCUGGGAAAAGAUGGAUUGAAAGGAGUUCCGAGGAGGGAGGAUCACGAGUUCAGGAGAUCAAGACCAUCCUGGCUAACAAGGUGAAACCCUGUCUCUACUAAAAAUACAAAAAAAAUUAGCUGGGCGUGGUGGUGGGCACCUGUAGUCCCAGUUACUAGGGAGGCUGAGGCAGGAGAAUGGCGUGAACCUGGGAGGCGGAGCUUGCAGUGAAUCGAGAUGGCGCCACUGCACUCCAGCCUGGGUGACAGAGGGAGAUUCCGUCUCAAAAAAAAAAAAAAAAAAAAAGUUCCUGGGGCUGGGCACAGUGGCUCACGCCUGUAAUCCCAGCACUUUGGGAGGCCAAGGUGAGUGGAUCAUUUGAGGUCAGGAGUUUGAGACCAGCCUGGCCAACAUGGUGAAACCCUACCUCUACUAAAUACAAAAAUUAGCCAGGCAUGGUGGUGAGCACCUGUAGUCCCAGCUACUUGGGAAGCUGAGGUAGGAGAAUCAGUUGAAACCAGGAGGUGGAGGUUGCAGUGAGCCGAGAUUGCGCUACUGCACUCCAGCUUGGGUGACAGUGAGACUCUGUCUCAAAGAAAAAGUUCCCGGGGAUAUAGCUGGUGGGACAACUGCCCAGUGUGUUCAGCCCAGGGACUGCAAUACCAGCUUGCUUCAUCUGGAGUUGUUUCAGGAGACACUUAGCCCCUCUCACUUCCUUCACCUUCGUAAAUGACUUUCCCUGAGCACCUCACGUCAACCUCACUAUUGAGGUGUCCCUACUCUGGCCUUCAGGUCUCUGAAUGGGCACUAUAGACUGGGCAUGAGCUUUCACAAAAUGCUGGCUAAUUUUAUAUAAAUAUCUAUCCUGGGAACCACCUGUUCAGCAGUCUGAUUCUAGAAUCUUCUUCUACUGGAGUCUUCUCAGGAGUGGAUCCCAAUCUUGCAGACCUAGAAGUGGGCAUUUUUUACUCCAAUCCCUGUUUCUGGACUGUUUUGAAUAGAAGCACUACUAGGAUGUGAGUGUAUCCUUUGGUUAGCUCAUCAUAUUCUUUCCCUUCCAAGAAUGCCCCCUCUCCCUAAAAUGAUCUCAGCAGACCCUCAAGGUACCUUUUGGGUCCUUCUCUUCCACAAAACUGCCCCAGGUCUCUCCCUCCCCAGAACUCAAAGCUCUUUUUUCCCCCAGUGACCCUUUUGGCAAUGAAUCACGUGCAUAUUUUGUGACACACUCCAAUAAUCACUUCAUGGUGAGCAUAAUACCCACUUCACUGACUCAGCUUUGCUCAUUUUGAUGUAUGGCAGACAUCUCUGUCUGCGUGAUGAGUCUCUGGAAUAUUAACUCUAUUCUGCACGAUGGCUUUGCUUUGGGCAGAUGUUUUUAUCUAUCACCCGUGUCGAUCUGUUUUCCAUGAGGGAAAUUUGGCUGACCUUCAGAGGAUGGAUUACUGAUCUCCCGGGAGCCAAUGGAAGUGACAUCAUUAACGGAUUUUUUUUUUUUAACAGCAAAAAUGGAAGAUAAUUAAAUGCAGCACAGUAGUUGUAAAACAGAUUUCAUUGUGUUAUACAUCACUUCAUAAAGUAAGCAUAGUUCCCAUUCUUCCACAUGAUGCUUUUUGCAGCAUUGUACCACAGAAUAAUGACUCCCUAAUAACUCAGCUGAAAAAUAUUUAGAUCUACUUGCUCUAAGAAUAAGGUCAACAUUAAACAUUCUCAGAUGAAAAGCUUGCUGGAUGAAAUAGUGCACCAUCAGAAUAAAGCAUGCAAUAUAUUUACAGUCAGAUGAAACAAGUGUGUCCAUAAAUCAACCAAAAGACCAUCUCCUCCUUUAGGAAAUACAUGUAUUGCUUAGCCAGUACCAAUAAGUUAACGUCGUGUGAAUAAUUUUGGGUAUUCUGGCCUUCCUGAAUCUCAUACAGCCAAACCAACCAGAAGGCUUCCCCGCUGGGUUGAUGGUGGCUUAUCAUUUGGCAUCUGGAAACUUCUCUUAUUUUGCUGGAUAUGGCUGUCUAGUGGGUGGCUUACUGACUUGCCUAAGAAAAAAUAAGUCAAUCAUUCAGAUUAAUCUGGGAGGCUAAUUCUAAAAUCGGAUUUUAUGAGAAUUGCUAGAUUUGGGGCUAGGUUAACCUCAUUUCCAAAAGAAAAACUCUUACUGGAGAGAAACCAUCAUGUUGGCUCAUUCUAUUGUGUUUAUAUAUUUCACAGUAAAAUGAUUCAGUCUUGCCAGGUUCCAUAUUAGGAGGAUUAGAACUACAUCACUCAAUAUUUUCUUUUGUCUGUUCUAAAAUAUUUAUCAAGUUAAUUUAUGGACUUAUGGAUUUUUUCCAUUCCAGGACUUCAUUUGCGGGGAGCCUUCAGAAAAAACAGGUCACUUGCAGUAAUAUAGAAGGACUAAACUGUGAUUCUGGAGACCCGGGUUUCUCUUUGCUGUUCAACCAGUGUAGUCUUUUGUGUGUGCUGUUAACAGUGAUUUCUGGCUCAGUGAAAUGUGAUAAUGACUUCAUAUUUGUGAAGAGCUAAGUAUCCUGAUAUUUUGAUCUUUUCAAGCAGAUAAUUUCAGGCAGAAAUGAUAUAGCUUGUCUUUUGUUAGGUCUCACUAGGGGAAAAAAAUCGCUCACAAGAGCCUUGCCUACCUCAACAAGAAGUGUCUCUACUUAUACAAAUGGCAUGGUUUCUUUUCUGGUUACUGGGUCACAGGUGGCUCGCCAUUUGCUUUGAGUUUGCAAAUAAAGUACAUCUUGGGUUUCCUUAUCUUUAAACAAGUAAAGAUAAAUUAGGUUAAAGUGGGAGAAGGUUCACAGGAUGAGAACAUCAAUUCAGCUCACAGCAGGUAUGGGUCUAAAGUGCCUCUCUGCAGGAAAGAAAGCCACCACCAGCAGUCCACCUGCUCUCAGGGGAAGGGACCAGGCAUUGGAAAGGCUGCCUCGGGAGAAGUGACUCAACAAAAUCAUAAGCCGCAUGUAGCUUUGUUUCCUCUUUCUAAUACGGGCAUAUUUAUUGCCAUCUCAAUUAUACCUAAUUCAAUUAAUGGAAGAAAAUGUACAUGAAAGAACUCCCAGAAACUAAAAUGGCUAACUGUAGGCAGGAUGUGUGAUUAAUAUUUAGAAUCUAUCAAACCCAGUACUGGCAGGGCUGUUCUCUCCCCAGUACUUACCAGAGAGGGAGUAGAGCUAAUGCACAGCCAUACUCCUC